GUGGGGAAUAUUGGGCAAUGGGCGAAAGCCUGACCCAGCAACGCCGCGUGAAGGAAGAAGGUCUUCGGAUCGUAAACUUCUAUCCUUGGUGAAGAUAAUGACGGUAGCCGAGAAGGAAGCCCCGGCUAACUACGUGCCAGCAGCCGCGGUAAUACGUAGGGGGCAAGCGUUGUCCGGAAUGAUUGGGCGUAAAGGGCGCGUAGGCGGCCUGGUAAGUCUGGAGUGAAAGUCCUGCUUUUAAGGUGGGAAUUGCUUUGGAUACUGUCGGGCUUGAGUGCAGGAGAGGUAAGUGGAAUUCCCGGUGUGGCGGUGAAAUGCGUAGAGAUCGGGAGGAACACCAGUGGCGAAGGCGACUUACUGGACUGUAACUGACGCUGAGGCGCGAAAGUGUGGGGAGCAAACAGGAUUAGAUACCCCGGUAGUCC
Molecule: ribosomal RNA, 425 nt
Filed under: uncultured bacterium
Lineage: Bacteria
Description: partial 16S ribosomal RNA
Rfam family: Bacterial small subunit ribosomal RNA
Source: RNAcentral